This 254-nucleotide ribosomal RNA is filed under the name uncultured bacterium. RNAcentral's name for it is "partial 16S ribosomal RNA". It matches the Rfam family "Bacterial small subunit ribosomal RNA", at positions 524 to 776 of the family's 1533-position model. The record is from RNAcentral.
UACGGGGGGAGCAAGCGUUGUUCGGAUUUACUGGGCGUAAAGGGCGCGUAGGCGGUCAGCACAAGUCAGUUGUGAAAUCUCCGGGCUUAACCCGGAAAGGUCAACUGAUACUGUGCGACUAGAGUGCGGAAGGGGCAACUGGAAUUCUCGGUGUAGCGUUGAAAUGCGUAGAUAUCAAGUGGAACACCAGUGGCGAAGGCGAGUCCCUGGACAACACCUGACACUGAGGCACGAAAGCUAGGGGAGCAAACAGG